GAUGAACGCUGGCGGCGUGCCUAAUACAUACAGGUCGAACGAAACUUCUUUAUCACCGAGUGCUUGCACUCACCGAUAAAGAGUUGAGUGGCGAACGGGUGAGUAACACGUGGGCAGCCUGCCCAAAAGAGGGGGAUAACACUUGGAAACAGGUGCUAAUACCGCAUAACCAUAGUUACCGCAUGGUAACUAUGUAAAAGGUGGCUAUACUACCGCUUUUGGAUGGGCCCGCGGCGCAUUAGCUAGUUGGUAGGGUAAAGGCUUACCAAGGCAAUGAUGCGUAGCCGAAUUGAGAGGUUGAUCGGCCACAUUGGGACUGAGACACGGCCCAAACUCCUACGGGAGGCAGCAGUAGGGAAUCUUCCACAAUGGGCGAAAGCCUGAUGGAGCAACGCCGCGUGGGUGAAGAAGGUCUUCGGAUCGUAAAACCCUGUUGUUAGAGAAGAAAGUGCGUGAGAGUAACUGUUCACGUUUCGACGGUAUCUAACCAGAAAGCCACGGCUAACUACGUG
This 512-nucleotide ribosomal RNA is filed under the name uncultured bacterium. RNAcentral describes it as "partial 16S ribosomal RNA". It matches the Rfam family "Bacterial small subunit ribosomal RNA", at positions 28 to 507 of the family's 1533-position model. The record is from RNAcentral.